Molecule: non-coding RNA, 441 nt
Organism: Elgaria multicarinata webbii
Lineage: Eukaryota; Metazoa; Chordata; Lepidosauria; Squamata; Anguidae
Source: the annotation of a RefSeq genome assembly
CCAAUUUCAACCACCCUCAAGGCAAAAAGAGGGGAAAUGAUGUUUUGGCUUCAAUUUAUUCUCUUAGUCGCCUUCAAAGGUGCCCAAUCACAGAUCCAGCUGGUGGAGUCUGGAGGAGAUGUAAAAAAGCCUGGAGAGUCCCUCCGCCUAAACUGUCAAGCCUCCGGGUUCACCUAUGCCAGCUACUGGAUGAGCUGGGUGAGACAAGCUCCAGGAAAGGGCCUGGAAUGGGUUGCCCGUAUGCACCCAUCUGACUCAUCCCACAUUUACUACUCAGAUAAAGUGAAAGGGCGAUUCACCAUUUCCAGGGACAAUUCAAAGAGCCAGCUGUAUCUGCAAAUGAACGGCCUGAAAGCUGAGGACACCGCGAUGUAUUAUUGUGCAAGAGACACAGUGAGGGGAAGUGAAUCUGAAGUGAGACAAAAACUCUCCUUUGCUUAA